This 732-nucleotide ribosomal RNA is filed under the name Bacillus sp. 52ND15. RNAcentral describes it as "bacterial SSU rRNA". It matches the Rfam family "Bacterial small subunit ribosomal RNA", at positions 80 to 801 of the family's 1533-position model. Lineage: Bacteria; Bacillati; Bacillota; Bacilli; Caryophanales; Bacillaceae. The record is from RNAcentral.
GCUUUUGAUCAGUUAGCGGCGGACGGGUGAGUAACACGUGGUUAACCUGCCUGUAAGACUAGGAUAACUCCGGGAAACCGGGGCUAAUACUGGAUAACUUUUCUCUCCGCAUGGAGAGAGAUUGAAAGAUGGCUUCGGCUAUCACUUACAGAUGGACCCGCGGCGCAUUAGCUAGUUGGUGAGGUAACGGCUCACCAAGGCAACGAUGCGUAGCCGACCUGAGAGGGUGAUCGGCCACAUUGGGACUGAGACACGGCCCAAACUCCUACGGGAGGCAGCAGUAGGGAAUCUUCCGCAAUGGACGAAAGUCUGACGGAGCAACGCCGCGUGAGUGAAGAAGGUCUUCGGAUCGUAAAACUCUGUUGUUAGGGAAGAACAAGUAUCGUUCGAAUAGGGCGGUACCUUGACGGUACCUAACCAGAAAGCCACGGCUAACUACGUGCCAGCAGCCGCGGUAAUACGUAGGUGGCAAGCGUUGUCCGGAAUUAUUGGGCGUAAAGCGCGCGCAGGCGGUCUUUUAAGUCUGAUGUGAAAGCCCACGGCUCAACCGUGGAGGGUCAUUGGAAACUGGAAGACUUGAGUGCAGAAGAGGAGAGUGGAUUCCACGUGUAGCGGUGAAAUGCGUAGAGAUGUGGAGGACACCAGUGGCGAGGCGACUCUCUGGUCUGUAACUGACGCUGAGGCGCGAAAGCGUGGGGAGCAAACAGGAUUAGAUACCCUGGUAGUCACGCC